RNAcentral lists this ribosomal RNA (746 nucleotides) under uncultured bacterium. RNAcentral's name for it is "bacterial SSU rRNA". It matches the Rfam family "Bacterial small subunit ribosomal RNA", at positions 28 to 767 of the family's 1533-position model. The record is from RNAcentral.
AUUGAGCGCUGGCGGCAUGCCUUACACAUGCAAGUCGAACGGCAGCGCGGGGCAACCUGGCGGCGAGUGGCGAACGGGUGAGUAAUAUAUCGGAACGUACCCUGGAGUGGGGGCAUAACGUAGCGAAAGUUACGCUAAUACCGCAUACGAUCUAAGGAUGAAAGUGGGGGCAUCGCAAGACCUCAUGCUCCUGGAGCGGCCGAUAUCUGAUUAGCUAGUUGGUGGGGUAAAGGCCUACCAAGGCAUCGAUCAGUAGCUGGUCUGAGAGGACGACCAGCCACACUGGAACUGAGACACGGUCCAGACUCCUACGGGAGGCAGCAGUGGGGAAUUUUGGACAAUGGGCGAAAGCCUGAUCCAGCAAUGCCGCGUGAGUGAAGAAGGCCUCGGGUUGUAAAGCUCUUUUGUCAGGGAAAGAAAACGGUGGAGGCUAAUAUCCUCUGCUAUGACGGUACCUGAAGAAUAAGCACCGGCUAACUACGUGCCAGCAGCCGGGGUAAUACGUAGGGUGCAAGCGUUAAUCGGAAUUACUGGGCGUAAAGCGUGCGCAGGCGGUUUUGUAAGUCUGUCGUGAAAAUCCCCGGGCUCAACCUGGGAAUUGCGAUGGAGACUGCAAGGCUAGAAUCUGGCAGAGGGGGGUAGAAUUCCACGUGUAGCAGUGAAAUGCGUAGAGAUGUGGAGGAACGCCGAUGGCGAAGGCAGCCCCUGGGCAUCAAGAUCGACGCUCAUGCACGAAAGUGUGGGGG